UUCAUUCACGAGAACCCUGGAGUGAGUUUUGAACUUGAUUUAUUUGAGGCAAUAUGUACAAUAUGGGUCUUAAUACUACAUGGUGUAACAUCGAUAUGUAUAUUAAAUAAUGGUUUUAUUUCAGCUGGUAUUUUUCCGAAUCCCUUUCAAUACCAGCUUUUUAGUCUAUUUCUACUGUAAUCUAAAAAUAAUACUAUGGCCUCAUAAGGGCUAAAUUUUAUUAUCAUUUUCCUAUUUGCUUAUGGCAUUUCCAGAUCAGGAGAAGAUUGCAACACAUUUGUAGAGCUUAACGUAUCCUUGCUAAAGGAUAAAGAGAGAUGGAUAAUUUAUGCACGCGUGUGUAUUGCGUGGGCGUGUUUUUCUUAUCUCAUGCGCUGUCUCAAACUAACAUCUGCUUAGCAUAGAAAAUGUUAUGCAAAGGAGAGGGUUCGUUUUUUCUCUACUUUUCAUUUCAUUUUCUUAAGAAUUGUAUCUGCAUCUAGUCCGGACCAGAACUUGCCAGUUCGUUCUGAUUUUCAUUCGAAAUUAAUUACCUCGCGUCUACACUACCCAGGUGGAUGGUGCGACGCCAUGUUGUGGCAGUCAACAUCUAAGUGUAAAAUUAAUGAUAGUAUGUGUUUUGUUUACAAACAUCACAUUUGAUUCUCAUUAGGAUACAGAACUGUCAGUGGGAUACGGUCGCGCAAUGUUGGCUGCAAAACAAACCUAUUGUGUGAGAUAGGGAUGCCACCGGGCUGACACUACCAUGAAUCCCAAUGAUCAGGUCCAGUUUUCUGCCAGUUCGAUUUGUGACGAUCGUCGGAUGUCUGGGCAUCAGCGAGGAAGGUGCGAUUCCCCUCGAAGAGGAAGUCCAUGGAAGUGCAUUACUGAGUUGCGAUGGGAUGAGUUCUGCCAAAGCAAGAAUAAUGUUUCAGCUCGGAUGCCAGAAGCUGCAAAAGCAACAGGAUCAGUUCUUCGAACUAUAGCAGGAACAUCAAUGGACCAGCUCCAGUUCGUCAUCCACCAACGGGAAACAGUCUUCAUUGUACUGUGGAGUGUACCAUAAGUAUCCAGAAAACCCGGAAGUGGAUAAACCCAAAACGGUGGUAAAGCUGCUGAGCCGAGAAACCGAAAAGAACCGACCAUUGCGUGCCCGUGCAAAUCUAUGGCAGAAGAACCUUAAAGCGGACAAUUCAUAAAAUAUUUAUGUAUUAUAAAUUACGAAU
Molecule: long non-coding RNA, 1205 nt
Organism: Armigeres subalbatus
Lineage: Eukaryota; Metazoa; Arthropoda; Insecta; Diptera; Culicidae
Exons: 3
Source: RefSeq, a predicted model, not a curated record